GGUAGUAUUAAGUUGGUGCAAAAGUAAUUGUGGUUUUUGCCAUUGAAAAUAAUGACAGAAACCUCCGUUUCUUUUGCACCAACCAAAUAA
MicroRNA precursor from Chlorocebus sabaeus (green monkey), 90 nucleotides. NCBI's taxonomy places the organism in Eukaryota, Metazoa, Chordata, Mammalia, Primates, Cercopithecidae. The record is from Ensembl.